RNAcentral lists this ribosomal RNA (253 nucleotides) under uncultured bacterium. Its description in RNAcentral is "partial 16S ribosomal RNA". It matches the Rfam family "Bacterial small subunit ribosomal RNA", at positions 524 to 776 of the family's 1533-position model. The record is from RNAcentral.
UACGUAGGGUGCGAGCGUUAAUCGGAAUUACUGGGCGUAAAGCGAGCGCAGGCGGUUUGCUAAGACCGAUGUGAAAUCCCCGGGCUUAACCUGGGAACUGCAUUGGUGACUGGCAGGCUAGAGUAUGGCAGAGGGGGGUAGAAUUCCACGUGUAGCAGUGAAAUGCGUAGAGAUGUGGAGGAAUACCGAUGGCGAAGGCAGCCUCCUGGGCCAAUACUGACGCUCAUGCACGAAAGCGUGGGGAGCAAACAGG